This 468-nucleotide ribosomal RNA is filed under the name uncultured bacterium. RNAcentral's name for it is "partial 16S ribosomal RNA". It matches the Rfam family "Bacterial small subunit ribosomal RNA", at positions 28 to 507 of the family's 1533-position model. The record is from RNAcentral.
GACGAACGCUGGCGGCGUGCUUAACACAUGCAAGUCGAACGGAAAGGCCCUGCUUUUGUGGGGUGCUCGAGUGGCGAACGGGUGAGUAACACGUGAGUAACCUGCCCUUGACUUUGGGAUAACUUCAGGAAACUGGGGCUAAUACCGGAUAGGAGCUCCUGCUGCAUGGUGGGGGUUGGAAAGUUUCGGCGGUUGGGGAUGGACUCGCGGCUUAUCAGCUUGUUGGUGGGGUAGUGGCUUACCAAGGCUUUGACGGGUAGCCGGCCUGAGAGGGUGACCGGCCACAGUGGGACUGAGAGACGGCCCAGCGUCCUACGGGAGGCAGCAGUGGGGAAGAUUGCACAAUGGGCGGAAGCCUGAUGCAGCAACGCCGCGUGCGGGAUGACGGCCUUCGGGUUGCAAACCGCUUUCGCCUGUGACGAAGCGUGAGUGACGGUAAUGGGUAAAGAAGCACCCGCUAACUACGUG